Molecule: long non-coding RNA, 1603 nt
Filed under: Manihot esculenta (cassava)
Lineage: Eukaryota; Viridiplantae; Streptophyta; Magnoliopsida; Malpighiales; Euphorbiaceae
Description: long non-coding RNA (MESC_LNC000561)
Source: RNAcentral
ACCUAAUAAUCAGAUGGAAUCGAUGAGAAGUUGAAGAAAUUUGAUCGGGAGCAAAUAUCCACAGAUUGAACAAUCCUGCAUGUCAAAAUCAUUAUCAGGUUAUGUGUGGAAUCCUAUUGAACUUAAAGUGAAAUUCAAUUCCCUCAAACAAUUCUUAAUUUAAGACGUGAUCUGAAACAAAGUAAAUACAUCAAUUUGAAUUCAUGACAUGAAUAUUUGGUAGGGAAAAAGAAGAUGCCCUGUGCAGGAUCUGGAUAUUGCAAAACCUCCCAAAGAGUAGCUAGGAAUUUGAAAAACAACAGAAGUUCUGAGAAAAUCUGAUUUCUGGGUGAGCUUCGCUUGGUCAUUUAUGCUGUACCUCAACUGACUGCCUUGGAUUUUAAAUACUUCCUGGUAUGGUAAAAUAAUAAUAAUAAUAAAUCAUAUUUUUGAAACACUAAAGACGCAUUUGGGAAGUUGGUCGGCGUUAUUCUUGUCACUUUCUGCUACCAAAUUUUGGCUUAAAUGUUGGUUUUGGUCCUCCUACUGCCCCCUUCAAGUGCAUCUUCCUCUUAAUUCUUGCAAUUGUUGUAUGUAUAGACUGGCAUGAGAGGAAGUUUACAGAGGGUGAUGAAGAGGACACUGAUUCCUUGGACAAAAAUGGAGAUAGAAUCAUUCGUUUCUGGAAAGACCAUGGACGCUAGUUGAACUUCAAUGUUUUGGGUGGCAGCCAGAUUUGGUUCUUGGGGCCUAAAAGUUUGUGCUUUGUUGUGAAAAUAGCCUAUUCUCCUCUUCCUUGGCGUAUGGGCCUAGUCAGGUGCAAUUAUAACUGAAAAUUAUCGCAGGAGGUUCUAAUAAAUUUUUUGGCCAAAUAUUAUAUUAUAUAUAUAUUUUAAAUUGUCGAGCGAAAUUUCAUUAGUAACUUAAUUAAUUAAUAACGCUAAUUUUUUUAGUUUAAAAAAAUAAACUUAAUUAAAUAAGAAAAAUUUAUGACUCAAUUUGUAAAUUAUAAUAAAAAAAAAAUUUAAAUUUUAAUGAGUUAAAUAUAUAUAAAUUUAAAUUUAUUUUAUUUAUUAAUUAAAAUUAAAAAUGAAUUCAACUCAUUUAUAAAAAAAUAAAUUUUACUUAUUUAUAAAAUAAAUCAAAUUUUUAUUACACAAAAUUUUAAACAGUUCACAAAAUUGAUUUAUUUACAAUUUUACUUAUAAGAAAAUUUAAUUUUUUUAAAUUUUUUUUUUAAAAUUAACCGGAUUGAAAAAGUAAAACUUUAAAAUUUAUUUAAGUGCAAUCUACUACUGUCUGUGAAUAUUUCUUAUUUUUAUUUUUUUAACUUUAAUCAUGGAUCUAAUUAAUAUUUACAUUUUUAUAUGUUAUUAUUUCGCGAAUUUUUAUAAUAUCAUGUGCAUAUUUAAUUAUUUUAUUAUAACUGUUAAUUACCAUUUAAUAUUCAUCUCAUGUUGAGUAAGAAUUUGAUUACAGAGCAGCAAGUACCUGCGACUGUAAAGUAUCAUUUCAGAGGCCAGAACCCAUAGAUCAAAGCGUUAAGAAAUUCUCUUUCACCUAAUCCAUGUGCCGCUGCGGACUAAAAUCGUUCCAACUUUCAAUUGAAGGAAGCCUUUGAUUU